AGAACUUAGCAGAGAUGCUUUGGUGCCUUUCGGGAACUCUGAGACAGGUGCUGCAUGGCUGUCGUCAGCUCGUGUUGUGAAAUGUUGGGUUAAGUCCCGCAACGAGCGCAACCCUUAUCCUUUGUUGCCAGCGGUUCGGCCGGGAACUCAAAGGAGACUGCCGGUGAUAAACCGGAGGAAGGUGGGGAUGACGUCAAGUCAUCAUGGCCCUUACGGCCAGGGCUACACAUGUGCUACAAUGGCGCAUACAAAGAGAAGCGACCUCGCGAGAGCAAGCGGACCUCAUAAAGUGCGUCGUAGUCCGGAUUGGAGUCUGCAACUCGACUCCAUGAAGUCGGAAUCGCUAGUAAUCGUAGAUCAGAAUGCUACGGUGAAUACGUUCCCGGGCCUUGUACACACCGCCCGUCACACCAUGGGAGUGGGCUGCAAAAGAAGUAGGUAGCUUAACCUUCGGGAGGGCGCUUACCACUUUGUGAUUCAUGACUGGGGUGAAGUCGUAACAAGGUAGGCGUAGCGAG
RNAcentral lists this ribosomal RNA (518 nucleotides) under uncultured bacterium. Its description in RNAcentral is "bacterial SSU rRNA". It matches the Rfam family "Bacterial small subunit ribosomal RNA", at positions 992 to 1509 of the family's 1533-position model. The record is from RNAcentral.